AGCUGGGUUCCCGGCAGCGCGGACGCGGGCGUGAGCCGCUGCCGGUGCGGCGGCGUGGCCGGCGGAGACCCGGGUCUUCCCCGGCCGUGAGGAGAACGCAGGACGUGUGGGCGAAUACAAGUGGUUUUUUCUUUUCCUGUUUUUCAUUAGAAGCAAUAUUUGUUACAUUUGGAAAAAUCAGGUGCAAAGGAGAACUGGAGGGAAAAUGAGAACUAGAGCUAACUCUUGACCGGUUACUUUAUACUUGGAAUCUCACACACUUGGUGUCAGAAGGGACCUUCGAGGUUUUCUAAGCUAAGGAUGCGUUUCAGUGAGCUGGGAUAAAGAGACGUGCAGGCGACAUGGAGCAUUUGAGGAAUAUACCAAUGGCCUUACCAUUCCAAGAUGCUUUCAGCUGACACCUGGUAGAGAGGCAUAGUGAGGAACAGCCUGAUCCACUCAGUAAGAAUCCAGACAUUGGCCCCAUAAAACCUGGAUCUGCUCUUGCUUGAUGUUAUUUGAAGCAUUCAUCAAGAAAACAUCACUUCACGUAGGAAAGAGAACCAGUGUUCAAGUCCCAGACCUGAAGUUUACUAUCCUUUUUGCCUUGGAUUGAACUGAGUCUCAGUUUCUCAUCUGUCAAAUGGGGAAAUCUUAUAAGAUUAUGACUUCCCCUCCAGACCUUCUCUUACUCCUACCGGGACUGCAAUUGGGCUUAAAGGCAGCAUUCAAGAUAAGGAGAUGAGACCUGGAGUCCACAGAACUGUUCAUUGCAACUAUCUUUACCACCCACAACAGUCCUAAUCUCCCUUCUCUACUUUAUUAUUUUUUUCAAGGUUAAGUCAAGGUCCAGAGUAAAAGGCAUAUACUCCUCACGUCUCACAUCAAAGCAAGAUCCAUAACUCUUUUUAAGCUCUGUCUCUGCACUCCAUCCCACCAUUGACUAAUAAAGUGAUGGUGUAUUUGGAUUGGAUCAUUCAAGGUGUAGAAAGUUGAUCAGGUUCAGAAACUUAGGACACUGAGAAGAAUAUGAACACUACUAAAAAUAUAAAGUAAUAAAAUUGGCAGAAAAAGUUUCCCAGCCACUGCUACAGAGAGACCAGAGAAAGCAAUGAAAAUGUCUGUAUCUAAAAACUCCAGCCUGCUUUAGAAGCAAAAUUACCAUGACGGCGUUACAUCUGGAUGCAUCAGCUCAUUUAGCAGUUGCCUCCUUAGCUUUGAAACAUCAAGUAUGACAUAAAUCAAGAUGUACAUUAACAAAGAUGGUAUAAAACAUCUGUGGAUUCUAAAUAAGGAAAAAAUCACAUUAGUCACCAUGCGAACAAUGUGUGUGAUAAUUUCCAUAAAAGCAGAAGGUAUCCAGGAACUCAAACAGACAAAAGAGCUGAAAUAGACUGUUAGCCCAAUGCGAAUAACGUACCAAAGGAACUAACUGCUGUCUCUCUCUUUUUUUUUCCUGAACAAGUAAGGAAUAUUUAAACAAAUAGAAUGAUUCCAUUUCUUUAAAUUAAGACAGAUUCUUCUUGAAGGAAAGGGAAAAUCAUUUCUUCUUGGAGCGCAUCAUCGCUGGCAGGUGACCCUCUGGUGUGUCUGAGAAGUCAUACGCUGCCCGUGUGGGUUUGCUGGAACAGUUUCCUGCUGAAUGCUGGACACAAAUUCUGCCUCUAAAAUUCUUGACUACGGUCAGUCUUGAAGAGAGGUGAGCCCCGAAUACCCCAUACCCAAAGUCAAGGGCAUUCUUAUCUCAGGCGUGGUCCUUGCAAAUACUUUUUGGCAUCAAAUAGCUUAUGUGCCCAAUUACAUAAUGUUCUCAAUGGAUAUAUUUCUACCAGCAGCAAAAAAGAGCCAAAGAUGGUUGAUUGUGUGCAUUACGAGGCAGUAAGAGAAAUUCCCAAGUUACGCCCUUUCCUCUUCCCUGGAUAAUGACAUCUGACAUUAACUAAGUAGCCUUCAAAAGCACAGAUGCAGAGAGUUGUGGGGAUAAGAGUCAGGUCUCCUUCUUCCUUUGUCCUUAAAAAUCAUAAAACUUUUUAUUUCAAAAGCCGUUUUACCUGAAGUGAGCAGUUUGUUUCAUCUGUAAUUUGUGCUGGAUAACAAUGAGAAUGAUGUUUUCAUUAUUCGUAGUGUAUCAGUCUGUUCCUUUCCUUGCCCCUAUUAACAAUAAAAACCCAUGCAGUUUUCAGCCAUUAUCAUUUUUCUCCUGAUAAACCAUCUGUGACAUGGAGACCUUGAAGCUGGGAGUUCUGGCCACAAUGCUCAAUAGACUGUGCACGCAGCUUUUUCAGAGGUAACUGCUGUAAAAAAUCAGCUCCACCGUUAUUCCUCUCUCUUAUGAUUUUUCUCUCGCUCCUUUUUAUAUAUCGAAUGUAAUGUGAGUUCACAUGAAUUCAGCCAACAGCGUUUUGCCUGACAAUAGAAACUACAUCUAAGGCUCUUACUGGGGCUAGAGUUGUCCUUUCCCCUAAUUCCAGCUGCUCCUGCUGCUGUCUCUGAUCGAGGAGCUAGAAGGAAAAUAUCCUCACCACAGAGCUACUUUGCCCAUCUUUUAUGGAGUCUUUCCUUUCCAGGGUUCAGGAGCCAUCUGCCUUUUGGACAGACAAGGUCCAUGUGAACUGACCUUGCCACAAGUAAAAUGAAAAGGAAUCAAAUGACAAAGUUGUCUCCACCAACUGGUUUCAUUAAAAAAUAAGCACACGUAGCUCUCCAGAGCCUGCUGGUUUUGACCUCAAGUCUUUGUGAAGCUGCAGUGAUAUUACGUGAUAAAAUGGAGAUAAGCUCUAAAAAUCAGAUAUAAAAGUAGAUCUAAAAUAGAUGCUAAUGGAUCAGUUUUUGUGUUUGUGCAUGUAUUAGGGUUCUCCAGAGAAACAGAACCAAUGGAAUGUGUAUAUGUAUAUGGAGAGAUUUAUUUUAAGGGUUUGACAUACAUGAUUAUGAAAGCUUGGCAAGUCCAAAAUCUGUUGGGGAGGCUGGCAGACUGGAGACUCAGGAAAGAGUUGCAGUUUGAGUCCAAAGGCAGUCUGCUGGCAGAAUUCUUUCUUUCUAGGGAGAGGUCAGGAUUGUUCUAUAAGGCCGUCAUGGGGCCGGCCCCCAGUGGCACAGAGGUUAAGUUCGCACGUUUCGU
Molecule: non-coding RNA, 3100 nt
Organism: Equus caballus (horse)
Lineage: Eukaryota; Metazoa; Chordata; Mammalia; Perissodactyla; Equidae
Source: RefSeq, a predicted model, not a curated record